Molecule: ribosomal RNA, 78 nt
Filed under: Crocodylus niloticus (Nile crocodile)
Lineage: Eukaryota; Metazoa; Chordata; Crocodylia; Crocodylidae
Description: partial 12S ribosomal RNA
Source: RNAcentral
CCUCUAAGCUAGUACGUCAGGUCAAGGUGCAGCCUAUAAGUUGGUAGAGACGGGCUACAUUUUCUACAUCAUAGAAAU